GUGGAAAAAUAUAUCGCAUACUCGGGAAUAAACUAAAAAUACUUGGAAAUAAAGAUAUUUCAAGUUUUAAAUAUAUUUAUGACAGAAACAAACUGUUAUAAAACGCCAAACGGAUUAUAUCAUGAUAACAAACCCGCCCCGAUGUUUUAAACCAUACUAUACGGGCAGAGACAUAUAUAUGUUCCAGACCGUAUGAGUAUUUGGACCGUACGCGUACGGUCUGGACCGUAUGCGUACUUUUUCGAAAUACUCAUACGGUCGGACCGUACGCGUACGGUCUGACUAAUAUCAAGGAGUUGGUCAAUUGUACUAGAUACAAAUACAUAUAACAGAUCAACAUAACUUAACUCUCAAAUAAAUAGAAAAAAAAAUCAAUUGUAAUUGAAAUAAAAACUUUACAUUUUAACUAUUUAAAAAAUUCAUGCUAAUUAAAUCUGUAAAUCUCUAGUAUUUAGCAUGUAGAUCAGUAAUACAUAAUACACUAAUUGAAUUAUGACAAUUAUUCUCACUGAAAUUGAAUGCGAAUAAUGUGGGAGGACAAUUGCUUUAGAAUAUUUAGCAACUUUUCAAAAAAAUGCUAAUCGAAAGGAACAUGCAUGAACUGAAAAAAUGUAAAUAUGAAAAAUAUACUUUUGGUAGCGAGUGUCACCUUUGGCGAGAGUUUCAAAAUAGGAUUCAGAUAUACAAUUAAACAAAUAUCUAAUUUAAAUUGUUAG
This 716-nucleotide long non-coding RNA is filed under the name Mytilus galloprovincialis (Mediterranean mussel). The record is from RNAcentral. Lineage: Eukaryota; Metazoa; Mollusca; Bivalvia; Mytilida; Mytilidae.